RNAcentral lists this ribosomal RNA (303 nucleotides) under uncultured bacterium. RNAcentral describes it as "partial 16S ribosomal RNA". It matches the Rfam family "Bacterial small subunit ribosomal RNA", at positions 507 to 807 of the family's 1533-position model. The record is from RNAcentral.
AGCAGUCGCCGCGGUAAUACGUAUGUCGCAAGCGUUAUCCGGAAUUAUUGGGCAUAAAGGGCAUCUAGGCGGCCAGACAAGUCUGGGGUGAAAACUUGCGGCUCAACCGCAAGCCUGCCCUGGAAACUGUUUGGCUAGAGUGCUGGAGAGGUGGACGGAACUGCACGAGUAGAGGUGAAAUUCGUAGAUAUGUGCAGGAAUGCCGAUGAUGAAGAUAGUUCACUGGACGGCAACUGACGCUGAAGUGCGAAAGCUAGGGGAGCGAACAGGAUUAGAUACCCCCGUAGUCCCUGUCUCUUAUAC